GUCGACUUGGAGGUUGUUCCCUUGAGGAGUGGCUUCCGGAGCUAACGCGUUAAGUCGACCGCCUGGGGAGUACGGCCGCAAGGUUAAAACUCAAAUGAAUUGACGGGGGCCCGCACAAGCGGUGGAGCAUGUGGUUUAAUUCGAUGCAACGCGAAGAACCUUACCUACUCUUGACAUCCAGAGAAUUUGGCAGAGAUGCUUUGGUGCCUUCGGGAACUCUGAGACAGGUGCUGCAUGGCUGUCGUCAGCUCGUGUUGUGAAAUGUUGGGUUAAGUCCCGCAACGAGCGCAACCCUUAUCCUUUGUUGCCAGCGAUUCGGUCGGGAACUCAAAGGAGACUGCCGGUGAUAAACCGGAGGAAGGUGGGGAUGACGUCAAGUCAUCAUGGCCCUUACGAGUAGGGCUACACACGUGCUACAAUGGCGCAUACAAAGAGAAGCGACCUCGCGAGAGCAAGCGGACCUCAUAAAGUGCGUCGUAGUCCGGAUCGGAGUCUGCAACUCGACUCCGUGAAGUCGGAAUCGCUAGUAAUCGUGGAUCAGAAUGCCACGGUGAAUACGUUCCCGGGCCUUGUACACACCGCCCGUCACACCAUGGGAGUGGGUUGCAAAAGAAGUAGGUAGCUUAACCUUCGGGAGGGCGCUUACCACUUUGUGAUUCAUGACNGGGGUGAAGUCGUAACAAGGUA
RNAcentral lists this ribosomal RNA (687 nucleotides) under Pantoea sp. Its description in RNAcentral is "bacterial SSU rRNA". It matches the Rfam family "Bacterial small subunit ribosomal RNA", at positions 811 to 1498 of the family's 1533-position model. The record is from RNAcentral. Lineage: Bacteria; Pseudomonadati; Pseudomonadota; Gammaproteobacteria; Enterobacterales; Erwiniaceae.